Molecule: ribosomal RNA, 309 nt
Filed under: uncultured eukaryote
Lineage: Eukaryota
Description: partial 18S ribosomal RNA
Rfam family: Eukaryotic small subunit ribosomal RNA
Source: RNAcentral
CCCUUAGAUGUUCUGGGCGGCCCGCGCACUACAAUGGCGUGUGCAGCGAGUGCCGAGGUAGAGUUUUCCGAGGUAUUCUUGCAAUGCUCGUUUUGAUGGGGAUAGACCCUUGCAACUGUUGGUUUUGAACGAGGAAUUCCUUGUAAGCAUGGUUUAUCAUCCGACGCUGAAUGCGUCCCUGCCCUUUGUACACACCGCCCGUCGCUCCUACCGAUGAGUCGUCCGGUGAAGUUCGUAGACCUCGUGAUCGCGGAUCACUGGGGGAAGCAAAAUGAACCUCGCGGUUUAGAGGAAGGAGAAGUCGUAACA